UCCAAUGUGACGUUACCAAACUGUUGCCUCGGCGGGAUCUCUGCCCCGGGUGCGUCGCAGCCCCGGACCAAGGCGCCCGCCGGAGGACCAACCAAAACUCUUAUUGUAUACCCCCUCGCGGGUUUUUUUAUAAUCUGAGCCUUCUCGGCGCCUCUCGUAGGCGUUUCGAAAAUGAAUCAAAACUUUCAACAACGGAUCUCUUGGUUCUGGCAUCGAUGAAGAACGCAGCGAAAUGCGAUAAGUAAUGUGAAUUGCAGAAUUCAGUGAAUCAUCGAAUCUUUGAACGCACAUUGCGCCCGCCAGUAUUCUGGCGGGCAUGCCUGUCCGAGCGUCAUUUCAACCCUCGAACCCCUCCGGGGGGUCGGCGUUGGGGAUCGGCCCUGCCUUGGCGGUGGCCGUCUCCGAAAUACAGUGGCGGUCUCGCCGCAGCCUCUCCUGCGCAGUAGUUUGCACACUCGCAUCGGGAGCGCGGCGCGUCCACAGCCGUUAAACACCCAACUUCUGAAAUGUUGACCUCGGAUCAGGUAGGAAUACCCGCUGAACUUAAGCAUAUCAAUAAGCGGAGGA
This 567-nucleotide ribosomal RNA is filed under the name Trichoderma harzianum. RNAcentral's name for it is "eukaryotic LSU rRNA". The stretch from base 181 to 334 matches the Rfam family "5.8S ribosomal RNA". The record is from RNAcentral. Lineage: Eukaryota; Fungi; Ascomycota; Sordariomycetes; Hypocreales; Hypocreaceae.